This is a long non-coding RNA of Brassica oleracea var. oleracea, 1117 nucleotides long. RefSeq lists it as uncharacterized. The record is from RefSeq and is a predicted model, not a curated record. The transcript is spliced from 4 exons. Lineage: Eukaryota; Viridiplantae; Streptophyta; Magnoliopsida; Brassicales; Brassicaceae.
AGAGUUUUUUUUUUUUUUUUUCACGAUCAGAAGAGUGUGGCCGUGACUCUUCACAUCUCACCACCUCCGGCAGUGUCUCUGUAACGGCCUGAGUUAUCGUCACCUGAAUACAUUAAUCCAUUCAUUUACGUCUUAUAAAUCACUCAUCCCACUCUCUCGAAUUAAAUCGACCAUAGCAUCCUCCAAUGUAACCGAAGACUCACUUAUUAAUGUAUUGUUGCUUAGAAUGAACAUUCCCACCGAAACGAAAUCCAAAGACUUCUCUCUUUCAAGCAUCAAAUCCAUCAAUGGCAAAUUCAUUUGCUCUUCUUCUCGCCAAUUCGAAAGCUGGACCCAGUUCACCGCUGAGGUCCGUCUGCUCAUAUUCUUGGUGUCGACAUGUUCCUCCUUGACGAGCAGGUUACAGAGAGCUGCUCACUUAGGAUUGAAUCAGCGCGAGGAUGUCAUCGACGUUUAUACGAAGGGGCUUGAUAUCGAUCCAAACAACGUAGCUUUAUAAUUAUGUUUGGCAGAUGCUCAAGGCUUUGCGUCGAGUCCACACACCAUCUUGAAUCCGUUUGGGGAUGGUUCCAAUGGCUAGAGAUGUCGGAGAAACUAACGGCUGAAUAUUCAGCUAGAGGACUCAGGCGGGUGAAGCAGCGGCGGAUCAGGAGGAUAAGAUGGUUGUGCCGCCAAGGAAGGAGCAUGGAGUAGAGAAGAAAUAAGACCCGGAGCAUGAACCUGGGCCGAACUUUGGAGAAGAAAAGGUAAAGCUUUAAACAAGAAUGGGGAAUUCUACAUACAAGGACGUCAAAACAAUAUCAGGAAUUACUCAGCCAUGGAAACUGAUGAUGAAUAAAUCUCUUUAUCACAAAUCGUGCUGCUGUUCAUCUGGAGAUGGCAAAGUAUGAUGAGGGCAUCAAGGAUUGUGAUAAGGCUGUUGAACGAGGUAGAAAGUUUAGUUCAGGUUACAAGUUGGCAGCUAAAGCUUUGACUAGGGAGUGAACAGUUCUGGGGAAGAUGGAAAAAGUCUCGAGAGACUAUGAACCUGUGAUUGAGUCUUACCAUAAAGUUCUUACGAAGCACCGCAACCGAGACGUGUUGUGUAAGUCAAAAAAACAUGUUUUACGUGUUGGUC